This is a long non-coding RNA of Chenopodium quinoa (quinoa), 591 nucleotides long. RefSeq lists it as uncharacterized. The transcript is spliced from 4 exons. NCBI's taxonomy places the organism in Eukaryota, Viridiplantae, Streptophyta, Magnoliopsida, Caryophyllales, Amaranthaceae. The record is from RefSeq and is a predicted model, not a curated record.
GUGGGUAAUAUCUAAACCAAAGCCCAUAAUUGUAAAUUUGGAGUUGGAGUUGGAGUUUUCGUCAAUGGGAUUCGUUCCUAAUCUCACUGUCUUCCAUCAUCAAAUCUUCUCCAAUUUUGAGUUUCCUUGAAUUUCGAUUAAAGUUUUCUAUUUCCCCCAAAUUUUUCGUUCAUCUUCAUAUUCUGGAGAAAGAAGAAAGAGAAUUUUCGGAAACAAGAUGAUAUACAGAAAGUGGAGUCUGUUGACCAGCACUGCGGUGAUCACCAGUGGCAUUGUUGGCGCCGUUGUCAUCGGCAAUCUCCUCUUUGUUCGCGAGGAUCCUCUCAUGAAGCCAGUGCCAAAGAAACAGAACGAGUCUUCAUCACAGUAGAUCUGUUUUAUUUGGCAAUAGGGCAGGGGUGCACCUUCAAAGGUUAUGGAUGUGUAGUAACAUAAGUUCAUGUUGAAAUUUGUAUUGUAAUUAUUAUUACUAUAUCUGUUAAAUAUUAUGUGCAAUUUUAAAAUAUUUAAUAUCUCAUAAAUAAUACUUCAAAGUUACAUAUGCAUUUAAUGGAGGUUUUAUUAUUAUUAUUAUUAUUAUUAUUAUUAUUA